GACGAACGCUGGCGGCGUGCUUAACACAUGCAAGUCGAACGGAAAGGCCCUGCUUUUGUGGGGUGCUCGAGUGGCGAACGGGUGAGUAACACGUGAGUAACCUGCCCUUGUCUUUGGGAUAACUCCAGGAAACUGGGGCUAAUAUCGGAUAGGAGCUCCUGCAGCAUGGUGGGGGUUGGAAAGUUUCGGCGGUUGGGGAUGGUCUCGCGGCUUACCGGCUUGUUAGUGGGGUAGUGGCUUACCAAGCCUUCGACGGGUAGCCGGCCUGAGAGGGUGAACGGCGACAUGGGGACUGAGGUACGGAGCAGACGCGAACGGGAGGCAGUGGUGGAGAAUAUGACGCAGUGAGCGGGAGCGUGAUACAACAGCGCCGCGAGCGGAAUACCGUGCUACGAGUUAUAAACCGAUUUCGCCUUAAACAUGGCGUUAGUGACGGUAAUGGAUAAAAAAGCAACGGCUAACUACGUG
This 468-nucleotide ribosomal RNA is filed under the name uncultured bacterium. Its description in RNAcentral is "partial 16S ribosomal RNA". It matches the Rfam family "Bacterial small subunit ribosomal RNA", at positions 28 to 507 of the family's 1533-position model. The record is from RNAcentral.